GUCCCAAAUGUAACCACAGAUAAUGAUCCAGAUACGAUGCCACACCCAGCAAUCACUGCACUUGAGUUUACUACAGCAAAAGCCAGCUCAAGCUAGGGCGAAUGUCUCGGUACCAAUCUUUCGUCGCCAUACACGUCUUUUUCGAUUUCAAUUUUCAGAUACAACUGUUCCCUCUCUUCAAAGGCCGGCCUUCUUUAGGGAAGUUACUUGGGGCCAACAUCCUUCAGGGCACAGAUCUGCUCCUCCCCCAUGGCAGACUGGACAGUCACCACAAGAUCCUUUCCCCCGUCAAAUCCUUCCUUGAUCUGAUUAGAUGGAGUAAGCAUUUUUGGACAAUCUUAGAACAUGAUAAAAUAUUUCAACAUUUGUUAAAAUCACAGAACAGGCAUGCAAGAGUGCAAUGACAAUAAUUCAAAUAAACGCAACUUAUGGCAACCAAGUUGGAUCCUUACAAGAAAAAUAAAGCGAAUGUGAAAUCCACCUCUUGUUCUAUCUGCUUUCAUGCAAAAUCUAUUAACAAGAUUCUAUGGAAGAGGGCUACCAAAAUAGACUGAUAUAUUACGAGAUAGACUGAAAUAUACAUAACGAUUGACUGAAACAUACACAAUGAUUAUAAAAUGGUUUACUAUUUUCCAGAAAAAAACGUUGAGAUAGAAAUAGGUAACUAAGAUGGAGAGUUUCUCAAAAUACCUGACCCAGGAGAGUCUCAUCAGUUGGGAGUCUAAGAUCAUCCUUGGUGUUGCCAUCAGAAGUAAGAAGGCUCACCUGAAAGUAAUUGAGAUAACUGAUAAAUAUCAAAUCUAACAUUUAACCGAAAAGAGAGGUACUUCGGCUGAUUGGAAGAACAUACAAAUCCAUCCUCUGAUAUGUCAAUCAGCUGAUACUCAGUGCGGUUCACGUGUGGCACCUAAGAGGAGUUGAAACAGUGAGUCAAUUAUGAAGUAAAUCAUAGAAAGGUAGUUAAACAGGCAGAGAUAUUUUAACUUACAUCACAGUUGUGUGAAGACGGAACAAUAUCUUCAAGUUUUUUCCCAUUGAAUAUGUCUAUGGCAACAAAGUGGCACUUAGCAUGACCGUGCUUACCGGUCUUUGAGGUAGAAACCUCCACCACCUGCAGCAUAACUUUAUUUAUCAACCAUGUUCGAUAAAUGAAACAAAAUCCCGACAAAACUAUGAUGCUACUUAAGAGCAUGGGAAAUGCCAAAUAGUUUCGGACAACUUCAUCAUUGCAUUGCUGAUAUCACUGAACCCAUCAAAGACUCGGUAAUAUAAACAAAGACAGUAGGGAACAUAGAAGGACAUGGAUUUUAUCAUCACCUUAUAAGAAUGCAGUGAACCACUAAAAUAGUGUACAACAAGCUAACUAGACUGGGAAAAGCUUUGGCAGCUUUAGACUUAUCACUAAAUGGAUCAGGUAUAUCUGUACGAGGCAAUUUGUCCAUUCUAACACAGGUAUAGAUCUCCAAAAGAAAAUUAUAGAAUUGGAAGUAUAAGAUCUCCAUCCUAUUCAUUGCAAACAUUUUAAUCACAAAGUGCAAUGUCAUAUAUCCAAUGUGGAGGCAAAUCCACCCCUGUCCAAUGAGAUGUAGGAAUGAAUGCAAGUUACCUUUUGUUCCAAGCUAACUUUUCAAACUCAUGAAUAAACUCCUUAAUAAAGUCAGCAAAGUCAUGUUUACCACUAUGCCCAGAUUGACUACCAAAAUGAUAAGCAUAUUCUGAGCAAGCUUAGUUGUCUAGGACAAGGCGUAGUUAUCACUCGGGUGACAAAUAGGCCAAAAACUACUCUUUGUAAUGGACUUAAACAAACAGGCUGUGCAUGAAGUAACUUCCCGUUUGUCUAGAUCACUGUAUAGAUGAUCAAAAUCAAACUUAUUGGUGAGGGCAAACUGGUACAGACCUGCUAACAACCAAGUGUAAAGAAUGAGUUCCCAUGUACGUUAUAUUUGGCUAGCUUUUGCCAAGAGUUAGUCACUGUACAUGUCAAACUAGAUUUCCCCUUAAUAAGGAAAAAAAUAACAUCCAUUUUUCGCUACGGAUUCAACUACUAAUUUGAACUGGGUGCAAUCUACAGACCAUCCCCCACUGAAGCAAACCAAAUUUAACCAUAACAAACUGCAGCUCUGCAAAGAAGAUUCAACAGAACAUACUAACUCCGGAUGGCACCCUUCACACGUGCAUCGUGUUUCUCAUCAACCAUGAUUUCCACCUUCCUCUAAGCAAUCACUAAUCAUCAAAUAUCUAGCAUCCAAAUCUACAAAUUCAAUCCCCAGACAUGAUGCCCACCAUCUGAAUAAUCAUCAGUUAUCUAGCAUCCAAUCCACAAAUUCCAUCCCCAGAGACAAGGGUCAACCGUCCAGAGAUAACAGUAACAGCAUUUAUCCCCAUCAAGACAUCAUAUAGUAUGACAGGAUACAACUUCAGCCAGUUCAACCACACAACCCCGCGCAUCUAGAUAUAAUCGCAGGACUAGAGUACUCGAGCCCAGAUCGAAGCGCAUAUAUACCUUGCAGGGGCGGCCCUUGAUGACGAUGAAGCCGUUCUUGCGGAUGGUGCCGGCCUGCUGCGGGUAGGUCUUGGACGCCCCAGCGUCGGCCUUCGACUCGAAGUGGUGCUCCUCGGAGUCCGACAUGGCUACCCCUGCAACAAACCCCAAACAAGAUCCGAGAAUU
Molecule: long non-coding RNA, 2669 nt
Filed under: Setaria viridis
Lineage: Eukaryota; Viridiplantae; Streptophyta; Magnoliopsida; Poales; Poaceae
Description: long non-coding RNA (SVIR_LNC002449)
Source: RNAcentral